AUUGAACGCUGGCGGCAGGCCUAACACAUGCAAGUCGAACGGUAACAGGAAGAAGCUUGCUUCUUUGCUGACGAGUGGCGGACGGGUGAGUAAUGUCUGGGAAACUGCCUGAUGGAGGGGGAUAACUACUGGAAACGGUAGCUAAUACCGCAUAACGUCGCAAGACCAAAGAGGGGGACCUUCGGGCCUCUUGCCAUCGGAUGUGCCCAGAUGGCAUUAGCUAGUAGGUGGGGUAACGGCUCACCUAGGCGACGAUCCCUAGCUGGUCUGAGAGGAUGACCAGCCACACUGGAACUGAGACACGGUCCAGACUCCUACGGGAGGCAGCAGUAGGGAAUAUUGCACAAUGGGCGCAAGCCUGAUGCAGCCAUGCCGCGUGUAUGAAGAAGGCCUUCGGGUUGUAAAGUACUUUCAGCGGGGAGGAAGGGAGUAAAGUUAAUACCUUUGCUCAUUGACGUUACCCGCAGAAGAAGCACCGGCUAACUCCGUG
This 490-nucleotide ribosomal RNA is filed under the name uncultured bacterium. RNAcentral's name for it is "partial 16S ribosomal RNA". It matches the Rfam family "Bacterial small subunit ribosomal RNA", at positions 30 to 507 of the family's 1533-position model. The record is from RNAcentral.